GUAUGGUUGUAUAUUAAAUACAAAGCAAUACAAUAAAAUCAAUAUAAUCUCUGUAUGUAUGCAAAGUGAAAAGGGAGAGCCAACAACUGAAAGUGCACUUGUUUUGUUGUAGUUUGCUUUUUUUUUUUUGCACUGCUUUCAGUAAUUCGCACUCGUUACCUGGUGCGUCGGCUGUUUGCCGGCGCUUACGUCCCUUUGGCACAGGAUGCAGCGGCAGCUCAUUCCCACGACGGCAGCGGCAGCAGCGGAUUGAUGGCAGCAGCGGCUUGAUGGCAGCAGCGGCUUGAUGGCAGCAGCGGCUUGAUGGCAGCGAUGUGAUGGCAGCAGCGAAUAAUGGCAGCGGCGAGUGAUGAUAGCAGCGACUGAUGGCAGCAGCGACUGAUGGCAGCGAUGUGAUGGCAGCAGCGAAUAAUGGCAGCGGCGAGUGAUGAUAGCAGCGACUGAUGGUAGCAGCGACUGAUGGCAGCAGCGAAUAAUGGCAGCGGCGAGUGAUGAUAGCAGCGACUGAUGGCAGCAGCGACUGAUGGCAGCAGCGAUUGAUGGCAGCGAUGUGAUGGAGUUGACGUAGCAAAAUUGGACACUUGGCGACACUAUAUAUUUACGGGGUUUGGUAGCGGCACUGGAAGCGCCGAGACUAUUUCGAACCACUUGGUGUUAUUAACGUGAAACACACUGUACCGCACCUUCUUCACGUCACGUAUACGCGUAUAUAUGUAUGUAUAUUUAGAUUUACAAAGGAUGUCGCUUGGCGCAACACC
Long non-coding RNA from Bactrocera neohumeralis, 758 nucleotides. RefSeq lists it as uncharacterized. Lineage: Eukaryota; Metazoa; Arthropoda; Insecta; Diptera; Tephritidae. The record is from RefSeq and is a predicted model, not a curated record. The transcript is spliced from 3 exons.